UUGGUAGAAGCCAAAAAGAGGCUUAUCACUGUUAAUGAUAGAAUUGAAUUACUUUCCUACCAAG
This 64-nucleotide transfer RNA is filed under the name Panulirus argus (Caribbean spiny lobster). RNAcentral describes it as "tRNA-Asn". The record is from RNAcentral. Lineage: Eukaryota; Metazoa; Arthropoda; Malacostraca; Decapoda; Palinuridae.